UACGUAGGGGGCAAGCGUUGUCCGGAUUUAUUGGGCGUAAAGAGCGUGUAGGCGGCCAGGUAGGUCAGCUGUGAAAACUCGAGGCUCAACCUCGAGAUGUCGGCUGAAACCAUCUGGCUAGAGUCCGGAAGAGGAGAAUGGAAUUCCCGGUGUAGCGGUGAAAUGCGCAGAUAUCGGGAAGAACACCCGUGGCGAAGGCGGUUCUCUGGGACGGUACUGACGCUGAGACGCGAAAGCGUGGGGAGCAAACGGG
RNAcentral lists this ribosomal RNA (253 nucleotides) under uncultured bacterium. RNAcentral's name for it is "partial 16S ribosomal RNA". It matches the Rfam family "Bacterial small subunit ribosomal RNA", at positions 524 to 776 of the family's 1533-position model. The record is from RNAcentral.